Molecule: ribosomal RNA, 520 nt
Filed under: uncultured archaeon
Lineage: Archaea
Description: bacterial SSU rRNA
Rfam family: Archaeal small subunit ribosomal RNA
Source: RNAcentral
ACGGGGUGCAGCAGGCGCGAAAACUCCGCAAUGUUCGAAAGAACGACGGGGGAACUCCAAGUGCAUUUACGCAAGUAAGUGGUUUUUAGUAGUGUAAAUAGCUGUUAGAAUAAGAGCUGGGUAAGACCGGUGCCAGCCGCCGCGGUAACACCGGCAGCUCGAGUGGUGACCGCUUUUAUUGGGCCUAAAGCGUUCGUAGCCGGUCCAGUAAGUCUUUGGGCAAAUCUUCUCGCUCAACGAAAAGAAUUCCGAAGAUACUGCUGGACUUGGGGCCGAGAGAGGUUAGAGGUACUCCUGGGGUAGGGGUGAAAUCCUAUAAUCCUGGGGGGACCGCCAGUGGCGAAGGCGUCUAACCAGAGCGGACCCGACGGUGAGGGACGAAAGCCAGGGGCGCGAACGGGAUUAGAUACCCCGGUAGUCCUGGCCGUAAACGCUGCAUGCUAGGUGUUGCAUGCUCUACGGGGGCAUGCAGUGCCGAAGAGAAGUUGAUAAGCGUGCCGCCUGGGAAGUAUAUCGCAAG